GGUGAAGAUUGAUCUGGAUGGCCAGAACAGAGCCUGGGUACUACAUACUAAUUGAAUUGUUGAUAAUGGCUGACAAAGCAAUUUCCUGCCAAUCACUUUUACCAUUAACCUCCUCAAGAUGAAUUCUGAAGGAAGCCAAAUAAGAGACAACUCUGGGUUUUGUAAGUCAACCUCUUUUUUUGAUAGAUUCACAUUUGUGCUUUUCUGCCUCCCAGAUAGAAACAAAGGUUAAAAAUGUGAUUGUGGCCUCCGGAAGUUUAAAAGCUGGGCAGAGCGCUGUGGAGACAAAGCCUGCCAUUCAGUUACAUAACUGAUUUUCAUGGAUGGCUUAUGAAAGUCAACAUCAUUAUUUUAUACUUACAUGCUUACCUCAAGAAAAGUACCAGGCGUUCCUAUUUCAAACGGGUUUCCCAAAAGCUCGAAGUUUGGGGAAUCAUAAACUGCUAAUGGAAGUCAAUGGGAAAAUCAUAUUCCUUGCAUGGCCAAUUUUUCCAUAAUGCACUUAGCAAAGUGAAGGAGACAAGUCUAGCAUUUAUGACGACAAGAGACUCACUUAUCUAUUACUUCAGCCUGUUUGGAGACUCCUGGCUGCAGGGAAAAUUCCAGGGUGAACAUAUCUCAAGAUUUAGAAGGAAUCCCACAUUAUAUUUCCAUGGGUUUGGUUUGGGAAAAAUCCCUGUAUGACUUCAGCAAGUCUGUGGCUGUUGGUGGAUCAAAUACAAGGGCCAAUAACUUCUUGCCACUUUAAGAGGAAUCGGAUUGAAAUGUAUGUAGACCUUUGGGAGGUAGGUAAUAAGAAUCACUGAUGCCUCCACAUACCUCUGAGGAUUUUCUCUUCGAUUAAAAUGACAAGAUUCCUUUUUAGCCAAUACAUAAGUAGAAUCUGGUUCAAAGGCUCUCAAACUGCCACCUGCUACUUCAAAAGCUCUUUCAAUUCCCUGAGCAAUUUACUUCAGGGCAAUUGAACUCCUGAGUGUGGUUUCCACCAUUUUCUAACCAGGCUGUCUCUGUGUGAAGGAAGAAUCAGUUUCUGCAGGCAGGUUUUCAGCACAGACCUGUUCAUGUAGGUGUUUGCUAGCCUUUAUAGCUGUGA
RNAcentral lists this long non-coding RNA (1093 nucleotides) under Homo sapiens (human). RNAcentral describes it as "HSALNT0237505". The record is from RNAcentral. Lineage: Eukaryota; Metazoa; Chordata; Mammalia; Primates; Hominidae.